UUUCUUUAUUAAGCUUCAUGAGAAAGCUUCCCAAAAUUAAAAAAUCUACUUCUCUCUGUCGCUCUCUCUUUUAUCACAAUCUCUCGCUCAAUCUGUCCAGCUCGCUCUCUAUGGCUCUUCAUCCUCUGUCACUCACGAUAUCAUCCUCCAUCACUCAUCAUCUCGAUGGUGUAAGCAAAACAUCCGGGUGCAAAUCGGGUUGGUUUUGGGGUCAUUGUUAAGGAUUGUCGGCGAAAGCUCAAUCUUGAAAAGCACUUAAAGACCAAGCUGCUCUUCAAACGCCGUAUAUCACUAUAUAUUUUGUAUGUUGGACUUUGUAAAUAUGUUUUUAUUGUCCCCUUACAAUAAUAUAUUUUUUGUAGAAAUGACUGCACUGUAUACAUGCUUAAUUCAUGAAUGCGAACGAUCAAUUUAUCCUAUAUGUAAUUUCAUUUUAAUGGCUUGAAUCUGUCGUUGGGGAAGUGCCUUUAGGGCAAUGGCCAUUUGACUUCUAUAGUUUUAUUGCAGACCAAGCUGCUUUUCAAACGCCGUAUAUCGCUAUAUAUUUUUGUUCGUUGGACUCUGUAAAUAUGUUUUUAGUGUCCCCUUACAAUAAUAUAUUUUUUGUAGAAAUGACUGCGUUGUAUACAUGCUUAAUUCAUGAAGUGCCGACUUGAUCAUAACAUAAUUUUAGGCAUGGUAAGGUUGUUAUUUUCAAGAUAUAUUCAUUUUGCGCAAUACAAGGUCAAGUUGAAUGAUGAGUUUCGUUGACCUUCUAAAGAUAUGUUCCACAUUGUUUUGUGGUCGGAAAAUGAACUGCGAGAAGAUGUAAUGAAGAAAGCAAGACAACAUGCAAUUGGAGGGGCAACUGCUUGAUUUCGAAUGGGCAGGUUGAUGGUUUUGCGACCUUAACAUGGCUAUGAGGCCAUUAGUUUUUAGUUUAGUCACGAUAAUGUAUUUUGAUGGUACAUUAUGCCAAACCAAACCAUGGUUGCGAGUAAUAUUUUUGUAUAGCAGAAUUGUUAUUAUGGACUGACAUUCUUAAAUGAGCCAAAUGGAAUUUAGGUUAAUUGAAACCUCUAAGAAGGUGAGGAAUGAUCAUUUGAUGUACAUAUAAUUUUUUCGGUUAGUUGGACAUUAUUAUAAGGCCCUGUAUAAAAGUAUAUACAAACACCUCUAGAGUGAAGUUCAUGGUAGUUUGUUAAUAUUAAUUCUGUUUCUUUGAAA
Molecule: non-coding RNA, 1206 nt
Organism: Punica granatum (pomegranate)
Lineage: Eukaryota; Viridiplantae; Streptophyta; Magnoliopsida; Myrtales; Lythraceae
Source: RefSeq, a predicted model, not a curated record